Molecule: ribosomal RNA, 468 nt
Filed under: uncultured bacterium
Lineage: Bacteria
Description: partial 16S ribosomal RNA
Rfam family: Bacterial small subunit ribosomal RNA
Source: RNAcentral
GACGAACGCUGGCGGCGUGCUUAAUACAUGCAAGUCGAACGGAAAGGCCCUGCUCUUGUGGGGUGCUCGUGUGGCGAACGGGUGAGUAACACGUGAGUAACCUGCCCCUGACUUUGGGAUAACUUCAGGAAACUGGGGCUAUUACCGGAUAGGAGCUACUGCAGCACGGUGGGGGAUGGAAAGUUUCGGCGGUUGGGGAUGGAAUCGAGGCUUAUCAGCUUGUUGGUGGGGUAGUGGCUUACCAAGGCUUUGACGGGUAGCCGGCCUGAGAGGGUUACCGGCCACAAGGGGACUAAGAGACGGCCCAGACUCCUACGGGAGGCAGCAGGGGGAAGUAUUGCACAACAGCCGGAAGCCUGAUACGACAACGCCGCGUUCGGGAAGACGUCCUUCGAGUUGUAAACCGCUGUCGCCUGUGACGAAGCGGGAGUGACGGUAAUUGGUAAAGAAGCACCGGCUAACUACGUG